CGGAGGACAGCUAGGCUAGGGCAGAGUGGCACAGUGGGUUAGGAAGUCAUAGGAAGAGCCUAUAAAGAGUUGGCACCUGACAAGAGUCCUCAGUGUGGGGGAAAAGGCUUGAGCCUGGCGGUACCAAGGACCGGAGCAGGAACCUGAGGCUGAUAGGAGAUAUUUAGCCGCAGAAGGAAUCUCACCAGAAACCCCAUUUACAUGGAAAGGAUAUCCACCAACACUCUGUGCACCCCCACUGGUGCCUGGCUUCGUCUGAUCAGUAUAAUUUCAACCAAGACAUCUCAGAGUCAUGUCACUUAUCAAAAGAGAAAAAAUGACUGGGGUGAACGGUUUCUUAGCAACCUGUUGCGUUACAGCUCCAGAACAACGGCAUGGACAGAUAAGGCCAGUGAAGCACUCUUCCCUGCGAAGCUCAGGCGCAUGUUUCCAGGUUCUGCACAACUUGUGGACACCUUUUGGUUGACUGCCAGGAUUGCCACUAAGCCCACAAGCACCACCCAAAGAUCAGCUUCAGACCACAAACUGCUCAGGACUUUCAGAUUGCUGAGUUCAUGAGACUGAUAUGAACAUGCAGAACUUUGAACUCAAAAAUACUUAAUCCUAAGACUGCGAAAUACAACCAAGCUGGACAUUGUGGAAAGCCUGGAAGAAAUAUCUUUGCUAUUGUAAAUAGUUUUACUGUGUUAGAGUAAAAAAAUCUUUCUUUUUUUUAUUUAGACAAAAAGGGCAAAAUGUUGCAGGAUAUUUGAUCACAUUGUGAACCCUGAGAUUGUUUACUGAAAAAUCCUGUUUCUAGUUGUAGUGUGGCUCAGCCCUAGCACACACCUUUAAUCCAAGAGCUUUCUGCUUGAACAAGAUUAAGCAAAGUCAGCCAUAGGUCAAGAAGCAUAACAAGAAAUCAGUUGACAGAGACUGAACAUAAGAACAAAACCAUAGAGAGUAAAAGGAAGUCAGGAAGAUGGAUAGAGAAAUGCCCAGGAAGGUAGCAGAGGGCUUUUUU
This is a long non-coding RNA of Meriones unguiculatus (Mongolian gerbil), 1003 nucleotides long. RefSeq lists it as uncharacterized. Lineage: Eukaryota; Metazoa; Chordata; Mammalia; Rodentia; Muridae. The transcript has 3 exons. The record is from RefSeq and is a predicted model, not a curated record.